UAGGGAAUCUUCGGCAAUGGGGGCAACCCUGACCGAGCAACGCCGCGUGAGUGAAGAAGGUUUUCGGAUCGUAAAGCUCUGUUGUAAGAGAAGAACGUGUGUGAGAGUGGAAAGUUCACACAGUGACGGUAACUUACCAGAAAGGGACGGCUAACUACGUGCCAGCAGCCGCGGUAAUACGUAGGUCCCGAGCGUUGUCCGGAUUUAUUGGGCGUAAAGCGAGCGCAGGCGGUUUAAUAAGUCUGAAGUUAAAGGCAGUGGCUUAACCAUUGUUCGCUUUGGAAACUGUUAAACUUGAGUGCAGAAGGGGAGAGUGGAAUUCCAUGUGUAGCGGUGAAAUGCGUAGAUAUAUGGAGGAACACCGGUGGCGAAAGCGGCUCUCUGGUCUGUAACUGACGCUGAGGCUCAAAGCGUGGGGAGCAAACAGG
This 428-nucleotide ribosomal RNA is filed under the name bacterium. RNAcentral describes it as "partial 16S ribosomal RNA". It matches the Rfam family "Bacterial small subunit ribosomal RNA", at positions 355 to 776 of the family's 1533-position model. The record is from RNAcentral.